ACCCAGCUGACGAGUCUCAAAUAGGACGAGACGAGCCCCCUGGAU
Molecule: non-coding RNA, 45 nt
Filed under: Schistosoma curassoni
Lineage: Eukaryota; Metazoa; Platyhelminthes; Trematoda; Strigeidida; Schistosomatidae
Source: RNAcentral